CAGUCGCCGCGGGAAUACAGAGGGUGCGAGCGUUAAUCGGAUUUACUGGGCGUAAAGCGUGCGUAGGCGGCUUCUUAAGUCGGAUGUGAAAUCCCUGAGCUUAACUUAGGAAUUGCAUUCGAUACUGGGAAGCUAGAGUAUGGGAGAGGAUGGUAGAAUUCCAGGUGUAGCGGUGAAAUGCGUAGAGAUCUGGAGGAAUACCGAUGGCGAAGGCGGCCCCCUGGACAAAGACUGACGCUCAGGUGCGAAAGCGUGGGGAGCAAACAGGAUUAGAUACCCCCGUAGUCCCUGUCUCUUAUAA
Molecule: ribosomal RNA, 301 nt
Filed under: uncultured bacterium
Lineage: Bacteria
Description: partial 16S ribosomal RNA
Rfam family: Bacterial small subunit ribosomal RNA
Source: RNAcentral